GCUAGCGUAGCUUAAAAUAAAGCAUAGCACUGAAGAUGCUAAGAUAGGCCCUCAAAAGCCUCGCAUGCA
Molecule: transfer RNA, 69 nt
Filed under: Nemacheilidae gen. n. sp. p LD-2023
Lineage: Eukaryota; Metazoa; Chordata; Actinopteri; Cypriniformes; Nemacheilidae
Description: tRNA-Phe
Rfam family: tRNA
About the family: Transfer RNA (tRNA) molecules are approximately 80 nucleotides in length. Their secondary structure includes four short double-helical elements and three loops (D, anti-codon, and T loops). Further hydrogen bonds mediate the characteristic L-shaped molecular structure. tRNAs have two regions of fundamental functional importance: the anti-codon, which is responsible for specific mRNA codon recognition, and the 3' end, to which the tRNAs corresponding amino acid is attached (by aminoacyl-tRNA synthetases). tRNAs cope with the degeneracy of the genetic code in two manners: having more than one tRNA (with a specific anti-codon) for a particular amino acid; and 'wobble' base-pairing, i.e. permitting non-standard base-pairing at the 3rd anti-codon position.
Source: RNAcentral